UCCUUGGUAGCUCAGCUGGUAAAGAAUCUGUCUGCAAUGCAGGAGACCCUGGUUCGAUUCCUGGGUUGGGAA
Molecule: transfer RNA, 72 nt
Filed under: Bos taurus (domestic cattle)
Lineage: Eukaryota; Metazoa; Chordata; Mammalia; Artiodactyla; Bovidae
Also listed under: 2 other names
Rfam family: tRNA
About the family: Transfer RNA (tRNA) molecules are approximately 80 nucleotides in length. Their secondary structure includes four short double-helical elements and three loops (D, anti-codon, and T loops).
Source: Rfam by way of RNAcentral